RNAcentral lists this transfer RNA (72 nucleotides) under Equus caballus (horse). It matches the Rfam family "tRNA". Rfam says of the family: Transfer RNA (tRNA) molecules are approximately 80 nucleotides in length. Their secondary structure includes four short double-helical elements and three loops (D, anti-codon, and T loops). The record is from Rfam by way of RNAcentral. Lineage: Eukaryota; Metazoa; Chordata; Mammalia; Perissodactyla; Equidae.
GCCCUGGUGGUCCAGUGGUUAAGAUUCGGCGCUCUUACUGCUGUGGCCUGGGUUCACGUCCCUGUCAGGGGA